Molecule: ribosomal RNA, 497 nt
Filed under: uncultured bacterium
Lineage: Bacteria
Description: partial 16S ribosomal RNA
Rfam family: Bacterial small subunit ribosomal RNA
Source: RNAcentral
GAUGAACGCUGGCGGCGUGCCUAAUACAUGCAAGUCGAGCGAACGGACGAGAAGCUUGCUUCUCUGAUGUUAGCGGCGGACGGGUGAGUAACACGUGGAUAACCUACCUAUAAGACUGGGAUAACUUCGGGAAACCGUAGCUAAUACCGGAUAAUAUUUUGAACCGCAUGGUUCAAAAGUGAAAGACGGUCUUGCUGUCACUUAUAGAUGGAUCCGCGCUGCAUUAGCUAGUUGGUAAGGUAACGGCUUACCAAGGCAACGAUGCAUAGCCGACCUGAGAGGGGGAUCGGCCACCCUGGAACUGAGACACGGUCCAGACUCCUACGGGAGGCAGCAGUAGGGAAUCUUCCGCAAUGGGCGAAAGCCUGACGGAGCAACGCCGCGUGAGUGAUGAAGGUCUUCGGAUCGUAAAACUCUGUUAUUAGGGAAGAACAUAUGUGUAAGUAACUGUGCACAUCUUGACGGUACCUAAUCAGAAAGCCACGGCUAACUACGUG